Molecule: ribosomal RNA, 499 nt
Filed under: uncultured haloarchaeon
Lineage: Archaea; Methanobacteriati; Methanobacteriota; Halobacteria; Halobacteriales; Halobacteriaceae
Description: bacterial SSU rRNA
Rfam family: Archaeal small subunit ribosomal RNA
Source: RNAcentral
ACAUUGCUAUUGGGAUUCGAUUUAGCCAUGCUAGUCGAACGAGUUCAGACUCGUGGCGAAUAGCUCAGUAACACGUGGCCAAGCUCCCCUUCAGUCAGCGAUACCCUCGGGAAACUGAGGUUAACAGCUGAUACACAACGCCAGCUGGAAUGCGGCGUUUCAGAAAGACAUCGCUGAAGGAUGCGGCUGCGGCCGAUUAGGUAGACGGUGGGGUAACGGCCCACCGUGCCAGUAAUCGGUACGGGUGAUGAGAGUCAGAGCCCGGAGACGGAAUCUGAGACAAGAUUCCGGGCCCUACGGGGCGCAGCAGGCGCGAAACCUUUACACUGCACGGAAGUGCGAUAGGGGAAUCCCAAGUGCGAGGGCAUAUUAGCCCUCGCUUUUCUCGACUGUAAGGUGGUCGACGAAUAAGAGCUGGGCAAGACCGGUGCCAGCCGCCGCGGUAAUACCGGCAGCUCAAGUGAUGUCCCAUAUUAUUGGGCCUAAAGCGUCCGUAGCU